This 460-nucleotide ribosomal RNA is filed under the name uncultured bacterium. Its description in RNAcentral is "SSU rRNA". It matches the Rfam family "Bacterial small subunit ribosomal RNA", at positions 26 to 518 of the family's 1533-position model. The record is from RNAcentral.
AGGACGAACGCUGGCGGCGUGCUUAACACAUGCAAGUCGAACGAGGUGCUUGCACCUAGUGGCGAACGGGUGAGUAACACGUGAGCAACCUGCCCCUGGCUCUGGGAUAGCCUCCGGAAACGGGGAUUAAUACCGGACAUGACCUUCUUCCGCAUGGUGGAGGGUGGAAAGUUUUUCGGCCAGGGAGGGGCUCGCGGCCUAUCAGCUUGUUGGAGGGGUAACGGCCCACCAAGGCGACGACGGGUAGCCGGCCUGAGAGGGCGACCGGCCACACUGGGACUGAGACACGGCCCAGACUCCUACGGGAGGCAGCAGUGAGGAAUUUCCGCAAUGGGCGAAAGCCUGACGGAGCGACGCCGCGUGUGGGAAGAAGGCCUUCGGGUCGUAAACCACUGUCGAAGGGGAAGAUAUUGACGGUACCCUUGGAGGAAGCCCCGGCUAACUACGCGCCAGCAGCCGC